Molecule: transfer RNA, 85 nt
Filed under: Candidatus Micrarchaeota archaeon CG1_02_60_51
Lineage: Archaea; Nanobdellati; Microcaldota
Also listed under: 4 other names
Description: tRNA-Leu
Rfam family: tRNA
About the family: Transfer RNA (tRNA) molecules are approximately 80 nucleotides in length. Their secondary structure includes four short double-helical elements and three loops (D, anti-codon, and T loops). Further hydrogen bonds mediate the characteristic L-shaped molecular structure. tRNAs have two regions of fundamental functional importance: the anti-codon, which is responsible for specific mRNA codon recognition, and the 3' end, to which the tRNAs corresponding amino acid is attached (by aminoacyl-tRNA synthetases). tRNAs cope with the degeneracy of the genetic code in two manners: having more than one tRNA (with a specific anti-codon) for a particular amino acid; and 'wobble' base-pairing, i.e. permitting non-standard base-pairing at the 3rd anti-codon position.
Source: RNAcentral
GCAGGGGUGGCAGAGCUUGGUCAAAUGCGCUGGCUUGAGGUGCCAGUCUCUUAGGAGUGCCAGGGUUCAAAUCCCUGCCCCUGCA